Molecule: non-coding RNA, 536 nt
Organism: Lonchura striata (white-rumped munia)
Lineage: Eukaryota; Metazoa; Chordata; Aves; Passeriformes; Estrildidae
Source: RefSeq, a predicted model, not a curated record
AGCUUCCAGACAAUGAAGCGAUGGAAAUGGAAAAUUCUUGGACAGCCACGUGCUUGCCUGAUGGCAGCUGGACACCACUGCCCAAGUGUAUGAAAGAAGGUGAUGCUGAUGUGUGUCAAGAGGUUCAUUACAUUAAAUCGACCUUUGAAUGUGGUGUGCCUAUAGAAGAAGUGAAAAGUCUCCUGGAAAUACAGAAACUGCUCCUGGAGAUUAACAAACUAGAGAUGGAGCUAGAAAACUAAAACAGAACUGGGUCCCUGUAAUAGCUCAACUUUCCUUUGGUGAACUCACAGUUUGUGCAGUCACAGCAUCUCUGAGAAGGUUCUGUGUGAUUUUAUGAGUUUUUUUUUUUGCAUGCCUAUAGCCAGAAAAAUAAUCACCAGUGCAUGGGAGGCUGCUUUUGCUGUGCUGGAUGCCAGAGCAGGGAGCGGGUUUUGCUCUAACCUACAAGCUUGAUUUGCUCUUUUACUAAUAAGUUGUUUCAUGUUUCAUAUUAGUAAGAAUAAAAAUAGAUUAAAUUUAGCUUUUUAAAAUCA